Molecule: unclassified non-coding RNA, 242 nt
Filed under: uncultured fungus
Lineage: Eukaryota; Fungi
Description: partial contains 5.8S ribosomal RNA, internal transcribed spacer 2, and large subunit ribosomal RNA
Source: RNAcentral
AACGCACAUUGCGCCCUUUGGUAUUCCGAGGGGCAUGCCCGUUCGAGCGUCAUUGCACCCAUCAAGCCCGGCUUGGUGUUGGGUCACGGGGGCGACCCGGACCUCAAUGUCUGCGGCUGGAACACCCCGUCCCUCAGCGUUGUGGAAACGAAUUCGCUCUGCGGAGGGUGUGGUCCAUCGCCGGUAAACCAUCUUAUUCAAAGGUUGACCUCGGAUCGGGCAGGGAUACCCGCUGAACUUAA